This 406-nucleotide ribosomal RNA is filed under the name uncultured bacterium. RNAcentral's name for it is "partial 16S ribosomal RNA". It matches the Rfam family "Bacterial small subunit ribosomal RNA", at positions 30 to 526 of the family's 1533-position model. The record is from RNAcentral.
AUUGAACGCUGGCGGCAGGCUUAACACAUGCAAGUCGAGCGAGCGGCGGACGGGUGAGCAAUGUCUUGGCAACUGCCUGAUGUAGGGGGAUAACUACUGGAAACGGUAGCUAAUACCGCAUACCAUCAGAUGUGCCCAGAUGGGUUUAGCUAGUCGGUGGGGUAACGGCUCACCUAGGCGACGAGCCCUAGCUGGUCUGAGAGGAUGACCAGCCACACUGGGACUGAGACACGGUCCAGACUCCUACGGGAGGCAGCAGUAGGGAAUAUUGCGCAAUGGGCGAAAGCCUGAUGCAGCAAUGCCGCGUGUGUGAAGAAGGCCUUCGGGUUGUAAAGCACUUUCAGCGAGGAAGCGUUACUUAAAGAGGAAGCACCGGCUAACUACGUGCCAGCAGCCGCGGUAAUAC